RNAcentral lists this ribosomal RNA (253 nucleotides) under uncultured bacterium. Its description in RNAcentral is "partial 16S ribosomal RNA". It matches the Rfam family "Bacterial small subunit ribosomal RNA", at positions 524 to 776 of the family's 1533-position model. The record is from RNAcentral.
GACGUAGGAGGCGAGCGUUGUCCGGAUUCAUUGGGCGUAAAGAGCGCGCAGGCGGUUUGGUAAGUCGGAUGUGAAAUCCCGGAGCUCAACUCCGGACCUGCAUCCGAUACUGCCCGACUAGAGGUAGGUAGGGGAGAUCGGAAUUCCUGGUGUAGCGGUGAAAUGCGCAGAUAUCAGGAGGAACACCGGUGGCGAAGGCAGGUCUCUGGGCCGAUACUGACGCUGAGGAGCGAAAGCGUGGGGAGCGAACAGG